Molecule: ribosomal RNA, 210 nt
Filed under: Glomus sp. (unid)
Lineage: Eukaryota; Fungi; Glomeromycota; Glomeromycetes; Glomerales; Glomeraceae
Source: RNAcentral
CAGUCGUACCUACGGACAAUCAGCUUUUUGAGUGUGAUUAUGUGGAUUGUGAGGAGUUUAAUCACCCUCAUGUUUUACGUAUUCGUGCUCUUGGGUGUACUUGCUCGUAUGGUUGGUUAACAUCAAUUUUGGUGGUCAUAAAAUGACUGGAGGAAUGUAGCUUCGAUCUCGUAUUGAAGUGUUAUAGCCUUGGUAGAUGUGAUGACUGAG